AGCUCCAAUAGCGUAUAUUAAAGUUGUUGCAGUUAAAAAGCUCGUAGUUGGAUUUCUGUCUUUGGGGAGCGGUCCGCCUCACGGUGAGCACUGCUGCUCUGGGGACAUCCUCUCGAAGGCGUCUGGUGCACUUAAUUGUGUGCUUGAUGGAUUCGGGACCUUUACUUUGAAAAAUUAGAGUGUUCAAAGCAGGCGUCGGCUUGAAUACAUUAGCAUGGAAUAAUGGAAUAGGACUUUGGUUCUAUUUUGUUGGUUUCUAGGACCGAAGUAAUGAUUAAUAGGGACAGUUGGGGGCAUUAGUAUUUAAUUGUCAGAGGUGAAAUUCUUGGAUUUAUGAAAGACUAACUACUGCGAAAGCAUUUGCCAAGGAUGUUUUCA
Molecule: ribosomal RNA, 378 nt
Filed under: uncultured eukaryote
Lineage: Eukaryota
Description: SSU rRNA
Rfam family: Eukaryotic small subunit ribosomal RNA
Source: RNAcentral